RNAcentral lists this ribosomal RNA (253 nucleotides) under uncultured bacterium. RNAcentral's name for it is "partial 16S ribosomal RNA". It matches the Rfam family "Bacterial small subunit ribosomal RNA", at positions 524 to 776 of the family's 1533-position model. The record is from RNAcentral.
UACAGAGGUCUCAAGCGUUAUUCGGAAUCACUGGGCGUAAAGGGUGCGUAGGCGGCGCGGAAAGUCAGGGGUGAAAUCCCGGAGCUCAACUCCGGAACUGCCUUUGAUACUCCCGCGCUAGAGAGCUGGAGGGGACAUCGGAAUUCACGGUGGAGCAGUGAAAUGCGUGGAUAUCGUGAGGAACACUAGUGGCGAAGGCGGAUGUCUGGACAGUAUCUGACGCUGAGGCACGAAGGCCAGGGGAGCGAACGGG